Molecule: ribosomal RNA, 292 nt
Filed under: uncultured Thermus sp.
Lineage: Bacteria; Thermotogati; Deinococcota; Deinococci; Thermales; Thermaceae
Description: partial 16S ribosomal RNA
Rfam family: Bacterial small subunit ribosomal RNA
Source: RNAcentral
CGUGCCUAAGACAUGCAAGUCGAGCGGGGCAGGUUUAUACCUGUUCAGCGGCGGACGGGUGAGUAACGCGUGGGUGACCUACCCGGAAGAGGCGGACAACCUGGGGAAACCCAGGCUAAUCCGCCAUGUGGUCCUGUCCUGUGGGGCAGGACUAAAGGGUGGAUAGCCCGCUUCCGGAUGGGCCCGCGUCCCAUCAGCUAGUUGGUGGGGUAAAGGCCCACCAAGGCGACGACGGGUAGCCGGCCUGAGAGGAUGGCCGGCCACAGGGGCACUGAGACACGGGCCCCACUCC